RNAcentral lists this transfer RNA (72 nucleotides) under Aneides lugubris. Its description in RNAcentral is "tRNA-His". It matches the Rfam family "tRNA". Rfam says of the family: Transfer RNA (tRNA) molecules are approximately 80 nucleotides in length. Their secondary structure includes four short double-helical elements and three loops (D, anti-codon, and T loops). The record is from RNAcentral. Lineage: Eukaryota; Metazoa; Chordata; Amphibia; Caudata; Plethodontidae.
GUAUAUAUAAUUUAAAUAAAAUAUUAAAUUGUGACUUUAAUUAUGAGAGUUAAAAUCUCUCUAUAAACCGAG